UCAUUCUAGAAGCCUUGGCUUUGAAAGCUUUCUUGCUCUCCUGUUGUCUCUGGUUUUGUGCUAUUUGUGGUCUUUGCUUUUUACUGCAGUGAGAAAUUUGUUUCCAUUUUCUGGAGGAUAAUGUUCAGUCCUGUUUGUGCUGCUGCCCUAGAAGAAUUGAAAUGGAAGGAGAUCUCCCAAGACAUCUUGUGAGGGGUGCAUGGUGUGAUAAUGCAGAGGAACACUUCUUGAGAUGGUCAACUUGUUAUUCUACUUGAUUCUCUGACUGUGAACCUAUAUUGUGAAUUCCAGGAUUGCUUGUCCCAGUAAUGAUCUGGCAGUCAUUCCUUCUUCCUGACCCUUUCCAGGUUUUUGUAUGCUGAGUAAAGGUGCUGAGGAAUGGGUACUCACGUCUUGCCUUUUAGGGCCUGGGAGCUUGUGUAAAGAUGCAGCUGUGAUCUUCGGCUGUUUGUCUCAUUGAAGGGACCUAAUGUUUUACGUUAUUGGUGGGAUCACAGUAUCUGUGGUAGCUUUCUUUUUCACCAUUAAGUUCCUCUUUGAGCUUGCCGCACGUGUAGUCAGCUUCCUCCAGCAUGAGGACCGGGAGCGCCGAGGAGAGCGGACCAUUUAUGACUACGUGCGAGGCAAUUACUUGGAUCCCCGCUCUUGCAAAGUCUUCUGGGAUUGGAAGGAUCCCUGUGAGGUGGGCCACAGCCUGGCCUUCCGAGUGCAUUUAUUCUAUAAGAAUGGCCAGCCUUUCCCUGCCCAUCGUCCUGUGGGCCUGCGAGUUCACAUCUGCCAUGUGGAGCUAGCAAUGGAUAUUCCUGUGACCCAGGAAGUGCUUCAGGAGCCCAGUUGCAAUGUGGUGAAGGUGGCAUUCACUGUGCGUAAGGCUGGGCGCUAUGAGAUCAGCAUAAAACUUGGAGGCUUAAAUGUGGCAUAUAGUCCUUACUACAAAGUCUUUCAGCCAGGGAUGGUGGUUCCCUCCAAAACCAAAAUUGUUUGCCAUUUCUCCACUCUGGUGCUGACAUGUGGACAGCCACACACUUUGCAGAUAGUUCCCCGAGAUGAAUAUGAUAAUCCUACCAGUAACUCAAUAUCACCGAUAGAUGAGCACAAUUACAGCCUCACAAUCCAUGAGCUUGGUCCCCAAGAAGAAGAACCUUCUGAUGUCUUGUUUGAAAAGUCCGUGGUGUCCAAUCAAGAGACAUGUCAGAUUCUCCUGAGACUCACCCUACUACGUAGGGGGUGUUUCCGUGCCUGCAUCUCCUACCAAAACCAGCCUAUUAGCAAUGGAGAAUUUGAUAUCAUUGUUCUAAGUGACAAUGAAAAGAAUAUUGUCGAGCGAAAUGUUUCUACCUCAGGGGUUGGUAGCUACUUUGAGGCCUACCUUUACAAUGCUAGUAGCUAUGCCAAUACCCAGUGGCAUCUUCCACCCCUGCAUUUGGGUUCCUCUCAGCGCCGACCUUCUACUGCUACUGAAGAUGAGGAUGAAGACUCUCCUUCGGACAGCCAGACCCCUGAGAAAGUAAAGAAACCAAAAAAAGUAUAUUGCUACGUUUCACCCAAGCAAUUCUCAGUAAAGGAGUUCUACUUGAAGAUUAUUCCUUGGCGCCUCUUUACCUUCAGAGUAUGUCCAGGCACCAAGUUUUCUUACCAUGGGCCUGACCCUGUACACAAGCUGCUGACACUGGUGGUGGAUGAUGGGAUCCAGCCUCCUGUGGAGCUCAGUUGCAAGGAGAGAAACAUCUUGGCAGCUACUUUCAUUCGCUCUCUACAUAAAAAUAUAGGAGGCUCAGAGACUUUUCAAGACAAAGUAAACUUUUUCCAGAGGGAGCUACGUCAGGUGCACAUGAAGAAACCGCACUCAAAAGUUACUCUGAAAGUCAGCCGCCACAACCUUCUGGAAUCAUCUUUGAAAGCAACACGGAAUUUUUCCCUUUCUGACUGGAGCAAAAAUUUUGAAGUGAUUUUCCAAGAUGAAGAAGCUUUGGACUGGGGAGGUCCUCGCAGAGAGUGGUUUGAACUGAUCUGCAAAGUUUUAUUUGAUACUACCAAUCAACUUUUUACUCAUUUCAGUGACAACAACCAAGCCCUGGUACACCCCAACCCCAACCGGCCACCUUCCUUGCGGUUGAAGGUGUAUGAAUUUGCAGGACGCUUGGUUGGAAAGUGUCUGUACGAGUCGUCUUUGGGAGGGGCUUACAAGCAGCUAGUGAGAGCUCGUUUCACAAGAUCAUUCUUGGCACAGAUCAUAGGAUUAAGGAUGCAUUAUAAGUAUUUUGAAACAGAUGACCCAGAGUUCUAUAAAUCCAAAGUUUGCUUCAUCCUGAAUAAUGAUGUGAGUGAGAUGGAGCUAGUCUUUGCUGAGGAAAAAUACAGCAAAUUGGGACAACUUGAGAAGGUGGUUGAACUGGUAACUGGUGGUGCCCAAAUGCCAGUAACCAAUGAAAAUAAAAUCUUCUAUCUUAAUUUGCUUGCACAGUACAGACUUGCCAAUCAGGUUAGAGAGGAAGUUGAUCACUUUUUGAAAGGUCUCAAUGAACUGGUUCCUGAAAACCUCCUAGCUAUUUUUGAUGAAAAUGAACUUGAGUUGCUUAUGUGUGGUACUGGGGACAUCAGUGUCUGUGAUUUCAAAGCACAUGCUGUAUUAGUGGGUGGUUCUUGGCAUUUUCGAGAAAAGGUUAUGCGGUGGUUCUGGACAGUAGUUUCCAGUUUCACACAGGAGGAAUUGGCCAGGCUGUUGCAGUUUACCACUGGCUCUUCUCAGCUGCCUCCUGGAGGAUUUGCUGCACUCUGCCCAUCUUUCCAGAUCAUUGCAGCUCCGACACACAGUACACUGCCAACAGCCCAUACUUGCUGACAAAUGAUAAAUUGUCAAGAGAUGGCAAAACUCCAAAUGAUCUUUGCUUGUGAAAGAGACUGGUCAGUAGAUCAUCGCUGCUGGUGUUACAGGCAUGAUUCUUCCAAGAAGAUGACAGGGAAGCAAACUCCAGCAUUGGUUCAUUGAGGAAGGCCUGGCAUCUAUAUGAAUGCAGUUUGAUGAAGGGUUCUGAAGAACCUGAACACCUGCAAACUAUUUCAUGACAUUUUGGUUGGUCCUGGAAAUGGUAUUGCCCAACCAUAGAGUUUGGGGUGGGGGGGAAGAGUCAUGUAGAAGAGCAAACAAACUGUCAGAAAACAAAGGCUUGCAGUCUUUCAACAAUGAAAGGCAGAACAUUUCACUGUCAUUCAAUAAUGAAAGGGUGAGCCAUACUGGAAUCAAAGCGAGACAGAAACUUCAAGAUUAAUAUGCCCUGAGCACCUCCUUUCACCAUCAUCAUUAGUGACUGGGUGGGAUCAGCACAGCCCUUGAUCGAUGAGCUUUAAUUCAUCAGCUCACCUCUGAAUGUGGAGAAAAGUCCCUUCUUGGGCAGCGGCUCCUUGCAACAGCUGGCUUUCCAGUCCAUGGAAUGUAUCCCAUCUGCAGUGCAUUAGUGGAUGUGCUCCGUAUGUGUAAGAGAAAAGCAUAUGUGGAUUCUGAACAUUGUCUUAAGAAUAAAAUGGGUUAAUUAGACUAAGGAACAUAGUGCCAGGAGCCACAUCUGGGAGCCAACUGCCAUGCAUGCAUGAAUCCUCGGGUAUUUUAGUUCUAGAAUAUUUAAUAUGGAUAAUGCUGUCCCUCAAAGAUAAGGAAGUGAUGCGCAUGAUUUAUGAGUAAUUUGUAUUUCAAAAAGACUUGAAUGAGCUCUGCCUAUGAAGUUUCCUUUCCUCAAAUUAAAAAGAAAGAUUAAUCCUCCAAGCAUUGCUGCUGGGGGAACUAGGUGGCAGAGGGUCUUAUUCUCAUAAUUCAAACAUAGGUGUUGCUAGGCUAGGGCUCAAGGCCCCCCGACCCUGUAUCUAUUUCUCAGAAUCCUGACUCUCUAUUGCUGCCAGUGGAAGAUAUUUCCUAAGGGCUUAGCUUCCCUCCACAAAUGCGAGGACUACCCAUCCAAAAAUCUCUCACCCACAUGACAAUUAAACUUAGGGGAGAAAACUAUGUAUGUUAAAGAAAGUUUUGAUUCCAAACCUUUUUUGCAUGAAUGGAGGCAAUUUUCUUCCAUGAAGGAAAAAAGAGAAGUGGCAGAGAGAAGGGACAGAAAGAGAGAGGAACUACUGAUUUGGGAUGAUCUGUAGUCUGAAUUAAUUGAAAUAUCUAUUUUAUUAGAGGUUAUUUGAAAAGUGGGGGUUGAAUGGACAAUUAAUUGGCUUUGCCUUCUGUGAGAAUUAAAUAGAUCCUAGUAAUUAUUACUAAAUUGGCAUACAUAGGUAUUAGCAUAUGCAUGGUUAUGCAGUUUUGUGCAGCCUGGCCCCAAACCUUAGAAGUACCUUGCAAAACCAAACUGCAAACUAACUAUGCUGUUCCUUCCUGAAUUCAUUGGUCAUUCUUUAGACAAACCAAACAACAUUUUAAAGUGGAAACAAGAGUUUCCUCCUACAGGGACAAAAUAAACAAAACGCGGUCCCUUUGCAUACUUUUAUUUACAAUACACCAACCAAUGCCUUCAAAUGUACCUUCUUUUGAGGUUUGAUUGAUAAUUUAUCCUUGGAAUGGGAACUUGGAAGUCAUAUUGUUUGGCUAUUUUAAUCAGUUUCAGAACUAGAUUUUUCUUUGAUGAUUCCUUAAGAGCUGAUGAUCUUGCCACAGAAAUCUCAGCUGAUGCCAAGCAAAGUUGUCCGAGUUCCAAGCAUGAAACAGCCAGGCUAUAUAACACUAUCAUCACAGAUAAUUUGUUUAAUUUAGUGAUGUUGGCUCCUUUUUCUCCUUUUCUCCAUAGUUAAUCUCUUUUGGAUGAAGUCUUGAACUUAUAGCAUGAUUGGCUUUGAAAUGUUCAACCUUUGCUCUCUGUGUGAGUUCCAAACAAAUGAGAUAUUCUGUGUUUAUCCACCGAUCCCUAACUGAGAAGUUUGCUGAAGUCCAAGUUGUAUCAUAAUUCCCUACAAAUGUUGCACUUCCUUUUUUUUUGUCAGAUUUCUUUUUUAGUACUGAUACAUCUGGGAUGAAAUAUUGCAAUCUGAUGACCUUAAGGGAUCUGGGUAGAACAUACAGCACCUCCUGAAAGCUGGCUUUUCCCAGGAGUACCUGGUUUUUAUGCCAGAAGGAAAGAUAUUUUAACAAGGUUCUGGAGAAUUGUUACCAAAGUUCAAAGGCCAGCUCUUCUUGCAACAUUAAAUUGUAAAGAACAAACAUCUAUUGCAAAACCAGUAUAUUUUGAUAUAAUUGUGUUUGCUUCUAUAUUUUCUCAAUAAUCAGAGGUGUGCAUUCCUGAAGGGUCAGAAAAUGAGUGGAGGUGGUAUUUUUAGGGUGGCCAUAUAUCCUAUUUUAGAGAGAACAAUCUUCAGUUUGAAUGCAUCCUAUGUUUGAAGGCCUGUUCACUCCAUGUUUAGCUGAAAGAUAAAGGACUAUAAGAAGAAAAAGAAGGGGGCUUGAAGCUGUCUACCUGCAGUCAGCACCAGGAUAGCAGACUGAGCAAACACACAGGUUACCUCACCAUCUUUCCUACAUGGUAAGAUGUAUGGUACUUGUAUUUAAAUGUUAGUAAUUAUUUCUAGUAUAAGUUAACAAAUGCAGAUUUGAUACAAAUCAAUUUCUUUAUUUGUCUUUUUUGUGAUACAUGGUGCAUGUCCUAAUUUUUAUUAUCUGUAGCUGCACACCAUACUUGCCAGUUUGGUUAUAAAACAGGGUUUAUAGCACAGUAGUAAUUCCUAUACUUUGCAUGUAUAAGAUCCUAUGUUUUCUCCCCAGCAUCUCUAGGCAGAACUAAAAAGGAAUCCUGCCUGAAAUCCUAGAGAGCUGCUAAUAGAGGAUGGACCAAUUCAGUAUAGGACAGCUCCCAGUGUCUACUUUUAUCACAAUGAAGUAUGUCAGGGACAGAAUGGAGUCAAACUUAAAUCUCUCUGCCUUUCCUACUCUGUGCCACAGCUUUAAUUUUCACUUCAGUUUAGACCUGGAUAGUAGAAGUCACUGGCUGAGUAAAAAUGUCAGUCUGCAGAGCUAUAUCUGUAUGCCACCAUUUUAAACAAACUGCCUAAUUUAAUUUGGAGAUUUUUUCCAGUAAAUUAAAAUUUGAUAUAACUGAUUAAUCAAUUAAAAAAUGCUGUCCUUGUAUGUGUGUGUUUCUCUCUCUCUGUGAGCACACA
Varanus komodoensis (Komodo dragon) is the source of this 6138-nucleotide RNA transcript. It is a transcript of the gene named apoptosis resistant E3 ubiquitin protein ligase 1, with no coding region annotated. The record is from RefSeq and is a predicted model, not a curated record. Lineage: Eukaryota; Metazoa; Chordata; Lepidosauria; Squamata; Varanidae. The transcript has 21 exons.